AUACGGCAAACUAAUUAGAAACACACGGAAACCACAUCAGUCCAAACAAAACCAAAAAGGCUCAUGAUGAAAAUCGCAGCUGACUUGGAAUGACCAACGACAACGGAGGAUUGGAGUAGAGGUAGAAGAGAGAGAGAGAGAGAGGUAGAAGAGAGAGAGAGAGGUAGAAGAGAGAGAGAGAGAGAGAGAGGUAGAAGAGAGAGAGAGAGGUAGAAGAGAGAGAGAGAGGUAGAAGAGAGAGAGAGAGGUAGAAGAGAGAGAGAGAGGUAGAAGAGAGAGAGAGAGGUAGAAGAGAGAGAGAGAGGAAGAAGAGAGAGAGAGAGAGAGAGGUAGAAGAGAGAGAGAGAGAGAGAGGUAGAAGAGAGAGAGAGAGGUAGAAGAGAGAGAGAGAGGUAGAAGAGAGAGAGAGAG
Molecule: long non-coding RNA, 411 nt
Organism: Oncorhynchus keta (chum salmon)
Lineage: Eukaryota; Metazoa; Chordata; Actinopteri; Salmoniformes; Salmonidae
Exons: 3
Source: RefSeq, a predicted model, not a curated record